RNAcentral lists this ribosomal RNA (1095 nucleotides) under Nonomuraea sp. Its description in RNAcentral is "bacterial SSU rRNA". It matches the Rfam family "Bacterial small subunit ribosomal RNA", at positions 318 to 1423 of the family's 1533-position model. Lineage: Bacteria; Bacillati; Actinomycetota; Actinomycetes; Streptosporangiales; Streptosporangiaceae. The record is from RNAcentral.
ACUGAGACACGGCCCAGACUCCUACGGGAGGCAGCAGUGGGGAAUAUUGCGCAAUGGGCGGAAGCCUGACGCAGCGACGCCGCGUGGGGGAUGACGGCCUUCGGGUUGUAAACCUCUUUCAGCAGGGACGAAGUUGACGUGUACCUGCAGAAGAAGCGCCGGCUAACUACGUGCCAGCAGCCGCGGUAAUACGUAGGGCGCAAGCGUUGUCCGGAAUUAUUGGGCGUAAAGAGCUCGUAGGUGGCUGGUCGCGUCUGCCGUGAAAGCCCGCAGCUUAACUGCGGGUCUGCGGUGGAUACGGGCCGGCUAGAGGUAGGCAGGGGCAAGUGGAAUUCCUGGUGUAGCGGUGAAAUGCGCAGAUAUCAGGAGGAACACCGGUGGCGAAGGCGGCUUGCUGGGCCUUACCUGACGCUGAGGAGCGAAAGCGUGGGGAGCGAACAGGAUUAGAUACCCUGGUAGUCCACGCUGUAAACGUUGGGCGCUAGGUGUGGGACCCUUCCACGGGUUCCGUGCCGGAGCUAACGCAUUAAGCGCCCCGCCUGGGGAGUACGGCCGCAAGGCUAAAACUCAAAGGAAUUGACGGGGGCCCGCACAAGCGGCGGAGCAUGUUGCUUAAUUCGACGCAACGCGAAGAACCUUACCAAGGUUUGACAUCACCCGGAAACGGCCAGAGAUGGUCGCCUCUUCGGACUGGGUGACAGGUGGUGCAUGGCUGUCGUCAGCUCGUGUCGUGAGAUGUUGGGUUAAGUCCCGCAACGAGCGCAACCCUUGUUCCAUGUUGCCAGCACGCCCUUCGGGGUGGUGGGGACUCAUGGGAGACUGCCGGGGUCAACUCGGAGGAAGGUGGGGAUGACGUCAAGUCAUCAUGCCCCUUAUGUCUUGGGCUGCAAACAUGCUACAAUGGCCGGUACAGAGGGCUGCUAAACCGCGAGGUGGAGCGAAUCCCUAAAAGCCGGUCUCAGUUCGGAUUGGGGUCUGCAACUCGACCCCAUGAAGUCGGAGUCGCUAGUAAUCGCAGAUCAGCAACGCUGCGGUGAAUACGUUCCCGGGCCUUGUACACACCGCCCGUCACGUCACGAAAGUCGGCAACACCCG